Molecule: ribosomal RNA, 1223 nt
Filed under: Temnopleurus toreumaticus
Lineage: Eukaryota; Metazoa; Echinodermata; Echinoidea; Temnopleuroida; Temnopleuridae
Description: eukaryotic LSU rRNA
Rfam family: Eukaryotic large subunit ribosomal RNA
Source: RNAcentral
UAUCACUAAGCGGAGGAAAAGAAACUAACCAGGAUUCCCUCAGUAGCGGCGAGUGAAGCGGGAAGAGCCCAUCGCCGAAUCCCCGGCCCCUGCGGGCCCCGGGAGCUGUGGCGUGAGGCUGCUUCGGGCGCGAGAGUCCGCGGCGCCGAGGUCCUCCUUGAUAGGGGUUCCUUUCCCAGGGCGGGUGUCAGGCCCGUUCGGGCGCCGGGACUCGAGUGUGCCUGGAGCCGCCGAGAGUCGGGUAGUUUGGGAAUGCUGCCCAAAGAGGGGUGGUGAACUCCAUCCAAGGCUAAAUACCGGCACGAGAUCGAUAGAAGACAAGUACCGUGAGGGAAAGUUGAAAAGUACAUCUGAAGAGAGCAGUUCAAGAGGACGUGAAACCGCCAAGAAGUAAACGGGCAGGAACCAGCGUCACGGGUCCGCGGAGACUCAGCCGCGCUGGCUCCCCGUCUCGCCCCCGUCACCGGAUCCGCGAGGACCGGUGCGGGGCCGGCGUCGGGGGACCUCGCGUGCACUUCUCCCGGACGCGGCGCUCGGGACCGGCGAUCUCGCAGCACGGGCGAAGGCACCUUCGCAGGUAGCUCCGCGGACCGGCCCCCUCGGGACUCCCGCGGAGAACAAACAGCGUCGGUCGCAACCCCGUCCGGGUCGCCGAAGAAGGGACGCCGAGCCGCGCCCGCCUCACCUCGAGGCUGCGCCUCCCGGACCCCCGCAGCCCUCCCCGGCGUUCGCUGUUCCCAGCGGCCGCCGAGGGACGGGAGGCGGCGGGAGCGGAGAGGUGGCACGCGGCGCCUCGGGUCGCCGAGCGAAGCAGGGCGCCUGUCCGACCCGUCUUGAAACACGGACCAAGGAGUCUAACGGGCCCGCGAGUCAGGGGGCCGCCCGAACCCCCCAGGGCGAAAAUGAAGGUGAAGGUCGGCUCGGCCGACCGAGGUGGGAUCCCGCCCCCUUCCCGGGGCGGGCGCACCACCGCCCCGCCACGUCCGCUCCGUUCGGUGUGGCGGAGGCAGAGCGGGCACGAUAGGACCCGAAAGAUGGUGAACUAUGCCCGAGCAGGGCGAAGCCAGAGGAAACUCUGGUGGAGGACCGCAGCGAUUCUGACGUGCAAAUCGAUCGUCCGACUCGGGUAUAGGGGCGAAAGACUAAUCGAACCAUCUAGUAGCUGGUUCCCUCCGAAGUUUCCCUCAGGAUAGCGGCGGACACAACUCAGUAUAGGUAGUACA